Molecule: long non-coding RNA, 435 nt
Filed under: Equus asinus (donkey)
Lineage: Eukaryota; Metazoa; Chordata; Mammalia; Perissodactyla; Equidae
Description: lncRNA (ENSEASG00005034883.1)
Source: RNAcentral
CUUGGCUUAGCUGACUAACACAGCUCAAAUCUUUAAUAGUUUACAACCUUGCAUAAGCUGUUAACACUUUGUUGUCUUAGAGGAUGAAUACCUCACAUAGUUCUUCCAUCAAGAUGCGCCAUGUCCAUUUUAGAGAAAAGCAAAUGAGGGUUGCAGGAAAGGAGAAGCUGGUGCCCUUCACCGUGGAGCUGCACCCACACCUGGCCCAGGACUUGGAGAAGCUGAAAGAAGGAGAUCCCGUGGGAGUCAGAGAGGCCGCAAAUCCGGCUACCACCUGGCAUGGAGGUGACCCGGCAUACAGUGGCGGUGGGGGCCUCAGUGAGCCCCCUAAGCACAGUGGUGUGGUGGCUGCUCCUUCUCUGCCCUCCAGCUCUUGUGUACAUUUCUCCCUUGGCCUGCCCUGGCCGUGUUUCCUCCCCACAAGCUUCUCUCUCC